Molecule: long non-coding RNA, 634 nt
Organism: Acanthochromis polyacanthus (spiny chromis)
Lineage: Eukaryota; Metazoa; Chordata; Actinopteri; Pomacentridae
Exons: 3
Source: RefSeq, a predicted model, not a curated record
GAUCUGUCUAGCAGAGGGGAAAAGAUUUAAAGUGAAAUAAAGUUCACCUGAUACACUUUGAAGAAACCAGAUGCUAGAAAUGUUCAGAUGUUUGUUAAAUGCAGCAUUAAAUGAGACUGAGAGCAGACAUGUUGAGGGAAAUGUGCAUCAGUGUGAUCUCUGCUGAUGUUGGUUCUGUCCCACUGAUUCCAUUCUAGGGAAUGUUAACUGUCAGGGAUUUACAGCCUGAUGGGAGCUUCUGCUUUCAUGAAGAACAGGGUGGAGUCCUGACUGGUUCCAGGAAACAGAUCACCUGUCAGAGCGUCCAGGAGUGGACUGGAAACUUUCUUCUUCUUCUUCAGUGUUUGAAUAAAGUGUGAAGGCAGAAAGUGUGUGUGAGCUGCUGUGAGUUGAGCAUCAUGGAUGAGUGUGAGGACAGAGAGGAGGGAGUCCCUCCCUCUAAAAGCUCUCUGUGUGGGGAACAGGAGAACCAGAGCAAAGCUCAGAGGUGAGAGCACCAUCUCUAACUGUCCAGGACUCUGCUGCAUGUCAGAGCUCAGCAUCACAUCACUGCUGCAUCAUUAUUGACAGGAAUCCACCUGGACCUGGACCUGGACCUGGACCUGCAUCCAGCUGUGUGUCCUUCAAGAGUGAC